This 880-nucleotide ribosomal RNA is filed under the name Staphylococcus sp. M_Sw_oHS_07/11_11_2(2). Its description in RNAcentral is "bacterial SSU rRNA". It matches the Rfam family "Bacterial small subunit ribosomal RNA", at positions 25 to 887 of the family's 1533-position model. Lineage: Bacteria; Bacillati; Bacillota; Bacilli; Caryophanales; Staphylococcaceae. The record is from RNAcentral.
CAGGAUGAACGCGGGCGGCGUGCCUAAUACAUGCAAGUCGAGCGAACAGACGAGGAGCUUGCUCCUCUGACGUAGCGGCGGACGGGUGAGUAACACGUGGAUAACCUACCUAUAAGACUGGGAUAACUUCGGGAAACCGGAGCUAAUACCGGAUAACAUGUUGAACCGCAUGGUUCAACAGUGAAAGACGGUCUUGCUGUCACUUAUAGAUGGAUCCGCGCCGCAUUAGCUAGUUGGUAAGGUAACGGCUUACCAAGGCAACGAUGCGUAGCCGACCUGAGAGGGUGAUCGGCCACACUGGAACUGAGACACGGUCCAGACUCCUACGGGAGGCAGCAGUAGGGAAUCUUCCGCAAUGGGCGAAAGCCUGACGGAGCAACGCCGCGUGAGUGAAGAAGGUCUUCGGAUCGUAAAACUCUGUUAUUAGGGAAGAACAAAUGUGUAAGUAACUAUGCACGUCUUGACGGUACCUAAUCAGAAAGCCACGGCUAACUACGUGCCAGCAGCCGCGGUAAUACGUAGGUGGCAAGCGUUAUCCGGAAUUAUUGGGCGUAAAGCGCGCGUAGGCGGUUUUUUAAGUCUGAUGUGAAAGCCCACGGCUCAACCGUGGAGGGUCAUUGGAAACUGGAAAACUUGAGUGCAGAAGAGGAAAGUGGAAUUCCAUGUGUAGCGGUGAAAUGCGCAGAGAUAUGGAGGAACACCAGUGGCGAAGGCGACUUUCUGGUCUGUAACUGACGCUGAUGUGCGAAAGCGUGGGGAUCAAACAGGAUUAGAUACCCUGGUAGUCCACGCCGUAAACGAUGAGUGCUAAGUGUUAGGGGGUUUCCGCCCCUUAGUGCUGCAGCUAACGCAUUAAGCACUCCGCCUGAGACUCACUUGU